Molecule: non-coding RNA, 58 nt
Organism: Aedes albopictus (Asian tiger mosquito)
Lineage: Eukaryota; Metazoa; Arthropoda; Insecta; Diptera; Culicidae
Source: Rfam
UAGCCUAGUGGUUAAGGCUAUGGACCGCCAAUCCGGAGACGGCGGGUUCGAUUCCCGC